UUCCAGACUCCUACGGGAGGCAGCAGUGGGGGAUAUUGCACAAUGGGGGGAACCCUGAUGCAGCGACGCCGCGUGGGUGAAGGAGCGUUUCGGCGCGUAAAGCCCUAUCGGCAGGGAAGAAGGAGGACGGUACCUGACUAAGAAGCCCCGGCUAACUACGUGCCAGCAGCCGCGGUAAUACGUAGGGGGCAAGCGUUAUCCGGAUUUACUGGGUGUAAAGGGAGCGUAGACGGUGAAGCAAGUCUGAAGUGAAAGGCGGGGGCUCAACCCCCGGACUGCUUUGGAAACUGUUUGACUGGAGUGCAGGAGAGGUAAGUGGAAUUCCUAGUGUAGCGGUGAAAUGCGUAGAUAUUAGGAGGAACACCAGUGGCGAAGGCGGCUUACUGGACUGUAACUGACGUUGAGGCUCGAAAGCGUGGGGAGCAAACAGGAUUAGAUACCCUUGUA
Molecule: ribosomal RNA, 447 nt
Filed under: uncultured bacterium
Lineage: Bacteria
Description: partial 16S ribosomal RNA
Rfam family: Bacterial small subunit ribosomal RNA
Source: RNAcentral